CCAUGCUGGCAAGAGAGGAGAAUAUGCUCAUCUUGCUUUCUUCAUGCACUGUGGAAGGUUGUCAGCUGCUUCUUUGAAGUUAACUAAUGAUCAUGCAAGCUGGGAAUCUGCAGUGGGAGCCAGGAUCUCCCUGGUGCUGUUAACAACACAGCUUCCACAUGCUGGCUCUCUCCUGUUACUUUGUGUGGUGUUUUUCAGGUCACUUCUUCAUCUGGAAUAGAUCUUGCUGAGGCAGAAAGAGGCCGUGGGAGGACGUUUGAGAGGAAAAGGAGUUGUGUGGUUUCCUCAUCACUCUUGCUGUUAAGCUGAACCUUUGCUUGCAUCUGGUUCAUACUUGAUGUGUCACUACCACCAUGUGAGUGCAGCACCUCCAUGGCAGAUGAUUUGGGUUCUAGAGCCAGCUUGGCAUAGCACAUUGGGUUUUCACCUUCCUUUCCCUCUUUCUAAGAAUAUACUUCAGG
Empidonax traillii (willow flycatcher) is the source of this 461-nucleotide long non-coding RNA. RefSeq lists it as uncharacterized. The record is from RefSeq and is a predicted model, not a curated record. The transcript has 3 exons. Lineage: Eukaryota; Metazoa; Chordata; Aves; Passeriformes; Tyrannidae.